Long non-coding RNA from Vespa mandarinia (Asian giant hornet), 2099 nucleotides. The record is from RefSeq and is a predicted model, not a curated record. Lineage: Eukaryota; Metazoa; Arthropoda; Insecta; Hymenoptera; Vespidae.
UCUAUCUCUAUCUUUCUCUCUCUCUCUCUCUCUUUCUCUCUCUCUCACUCUUUCUUUCUUUGUUUCUUUCAUUCCUUCUUUUUUCUCUCUUUCUUUUUUUCUCUUUUUCUCUCGUUUUCUCUUUCGCCACUUCAUACGCGUUCGAUGCCACUUCGUGUACGUAAACAAAGCUGCGAAAAUGGCCGACACGACGUCGUCGACGACGACGACGACGACGACGACGACGACGAUGACGACAAAUGGUGGCGACUUUACUUGCUUUCCUAUAUACAUAUAAAUAUAUACAAAUGUAUAGAUAGAUAUUCAUAUUUUUUUUUUGCUAUGGAAUAUUAUCGUACAUAAGUACAUGGGAACUCUUGCUUCAUUAUUAUUAUUAUUAUUAUUGUUAUUAUCAUCAUCAUCGUUUUCGUCUAUAAUUUUCUGUCUAUCUUUCUGAUUCUGUUUACUUAUUUCUUUUCUUUUUCUUUCUAUUUGGAAAACAAAAGUUGAGGAUCAUUACACGACUUUUUUUUUUUUAUUUCACGUCAUGAACGGCAUUUAUAUACAUACAUACGUUCAAUGCGUUGGAGUGCAUUCAUAAAAAUCAGAGAGAAGAAAAAUUACAAUUAUUUAUAUAUAUACUUAUUUUUCUUUCUCUGUCAAUUAUAUUACAUAAAUUGUUGCGUGUCGAUUUAUUUGUAAUAACGAAGGAAAAAGAAAGUAUUUGUUGAUCACGAAUUGAAUUGAUUGAUGUUAUCAUCGUUGUUAUAUUUAUUUGAAUAUUCUAUUAUUUCUAUUAUAUUUAUAAGUCGUUGCACUUUGUUAGAGAGAGAGAGAAACAAAUAUGUAGAGUUCUAAUCACGAGUUAGAAAGCUCACGCGCGUGCACGUUGCGGCUUUGUUUACUCUGGAGAAUGUUGUAAGAGUAGAAUGACGUCGACUGUGGCGACUCUUCAUCGAAAACGAACGAGAGAAAAAGAAAGAAAGACUGUCAGAGAGCGAGAGAGAGAGAGAGUGAGCGAAUUGGUGGGAGUGGGAAGGAGGCAUCGAUCGGUCCGUUGAUUCUUAUGUGAGAAGGGAAGAGAGAGUGAGAGAGAGAGAGAAAAAAUAUUUUGUCAUCUUUUCAAAUGGAACGACCUUCAAUCGAUUGUUAUUUAAAUAAUUUUCUUAACAAUUUUUCCAUAUUCUCACAAUGCAACAGGAUUAUGAAAGAGAACAAGAUAUUUAUUUAUACAUCUUUUAUGUGAUUAAUUAAAAUAAUUCAAUUUUUUUUUCCCUCAAUGAAAAUAAUAUUAUUUCUAUUUAUUGGGAAGAAAAAAAAACAAUUCUUAUCGUAGGAUACUACAUGGAGAGAUGUAUAUAGAAAUUUUUAUUAAUAUUUCAUUGCUUUCAGAAUAGCAAUCGUUUUAUUAUAGAAAUAAUUCAAUAAUAAAAAUUAAUUAAGUGUGUUUGUGUGUGUGUUUGUUUGUAUACGGCAACAAUGACGAACCCUUGAUCCAUGGGUUACUAUGACCUGCAAGAGAAGUGAGACUUAAAAUCUUUGAAAACACAAAAAAACUUGAAAUUAUUUAUUUAUAGAAAUGAAAUAUAUAUACAUAUAUAUUUAAUUUCUAAUAGUAUCUUAAAAUGUGUCUAGGGAAAUUUAAUUAUCUGCUUCUGUAGCAUUGUUUAAACAUCUGAUAUAGAAAACUUGAUAUAGAAAAAUUUCUAUCUCGAAUUUUACAUCAGUUUUGAAUAAAAUUACACUACAUAAUUUUAAUUUUGCUUUCUUUUUUUUUCUACUACAAGAUGACUAAACAUUUAAAUAUAGAAUGAUUUUUUUUAAAUUACUCGGUUCAAAUAUUUAAUCCACGACUGGUGAGUGGAAAAUUUUGUUGUUUGAUUUUAAGUCACCGGCCAAAAAAGAUUUGGCGUCAUUGAUACAGAAUAUGUCAGUUUGUACGUAAAUAUGAUUUUUUUGAGAUUUAGAAAUAAAGAAGAAACAAACUAAGGAUAUAUCAUAUAUACAUAUGUGAAUACUGAUUCCGUAAUAUUUUCACUUUGACAAUCGGUCAUAUAUUUCGAACGUUAUGUCACGUGAUGAGGAACUGAGAGAGAGAGAGAGAGAGAGAGAGAGAGAGA